GACGAACGCUGGCGGCGUGCUUAACACAUGCAAGUCGAACGGAAAGGCCCUGCUUUUGUGGGGUGCUCGAGUGGCGAACGGGUGAGUAACACGUGAGUAACCUGCCCUUGACUUUGGGAUAACUUCAGGAAACUGGGGCUAAUACCGGAUAGGAGCUCCUGCUGCAUGGUGGGGGUUGGAAAGUUUCGGCGGUUGGGGAUGGACUCGCGGCUUAUCAGCUUGUUGGUGGGGUAGUGGCUUACCAAGGCUUUGACGGGUAGCCGGCCUGAGAGGGUGACCGGCCAAAUUGGGACUGAGAUACGGCCCAGCCUACUACGGGAGGCAGCAGUGGGGAAUAUUGCACAAUGGGCGGAAGCCUGAUGCAGCACCGCCGCGUGCGGGAUGACGGCCUUCGGGUUGUAAACCGCUUUCGCCUGUGACGAAGCGUGAGUGACGGUAAUGGGUAAAGAAGCACCGGCUAACUACGUG
RNAcentral lists this ribosomal RNA (468 nucleotides) under uncultured bacterium. Its description in RNAcentral is "partial 16S ribosomal RNA". It matches the Rfam family "Bacterial small subunit ribosomal RNA", at positions 28 to 507 of the family's 1533-position model. The record is from RNAcentral.